ACGUAGGAGGCAAGCGUUAUCCGGAGUUACUGGGCGUAAAGGGCGUGCAGGCGGUUGGCUAAGUUCGUUGUGAAAGCGCCCAGGCUUAACCGGGCGAGGACGUACCGAACUGCGGGACUAAAGGCAGGGAGAGGCGUGUGGAAUUCCGGGUGUAGUGGUGAAAUGCGUAGAGAUCCGGAGGAACACCAGAGGCGAAAGCGAUUUUCUGGAUCGUUUCUGACGCUCAGACGCGAAAGCUAGGGUAGCAAACGG
Molecule: ribosomal RNA, 252 nt
Filed under: uncultured prokaryote
Description: partial 16S ribosomal RNA
Rfam family: Bacterial small subunit ribosomal RNA
Source: RNAcentral